Molecule: unclassified non-coding RNA, 262 nt
Filed under: Hevea brasiliensis (rubber tree)
Lineage: Eukaryota; Viridiplantae; Streptophyta; Magnoliopsida; Malpighiales; Euphorbiaceae
Source: RNAcentral
ACAUUACAUCAGCAAUCACAAUAUCAAACGACAUGCAAACAUUCAAGAACCUCGAAAAACUGCUGUCUGAGGAUAAACUAAAGAGUCUUUUAAAAAAAUACGAUAAAUCAGGCGAUGGAAAAUUGAACAAGCAAGAAGUGAAGGAUGCUUUCAGAGAUUUAGGGUUAUGGUUUUGUGGUUUGAGAGCUCAUCAAGCAAUGCAACAUGCUGAUAAAAAUAAUGAUGGCCUUAUAGUUGAUGAUGAGAUGGGUGUGCUUGUUGA